AAGCCCAUCAGCAGAUCCAUUUAGAGAUCUAGGAAUGUAGAUGAAACGACAAAAGAGAAAAGAUGAGGAAGAUGAGAACGCGAGAUCGUCGAUAUCGACGAGAACUCCAAAGAGCUCCGUUGAUCGUCGGCGAGAGUUGAUCGUGUUAACGAACACUUGAGAAUCUGAUUUGAGACACAUGUGAUGGUAGUUAUGUGACGCCACUUGCAGGAGGGCUUCUCGGAUUGCCAGAGCUUCAGCCAUGCAAGGAGAUGAUACUGAUGUUUGAGCGCAGGAUCCACAGAAGGUCUCUCGAUUGGCGGCAUCUGUGAAUAUCCAGGCGAGACCCGCGACACGGUCUCCACCCUUCCAUGAGGCAUCGGUGUGGCAGGUGAUUUCCGACGGGUCUGCGGCGGUUCGGUGAUUGAUUUGGGAGGUCCGUUGAAUCUGUAGCAUCUUUAGUGGUUGUGCCGCCUCCCACUCCUUCUGAAGAUUUAAAGCUCUCGUGAAUACAUCGGUAGCUGAGUUGUAUCGGUUUUCAAACAUGAGUUGAUUGCGUGAGGUCCAGAGUGUCCAGCAAAUCCAAGGGAAAGGGUUCCCGAUAGCACCAAACGGAGGCAGAGGCGAACUGACGAUCGACGCUUGAAGCUUUUCGAAAAAUAUGUAAGUGAGGAUGUAUCAAGUGUGUUCUCCCACGGUCCCAAGCUCCAAACUUCACCUGCAAAAGGGCAUUGGAAUAAGAUAUGCUCGAUGGAUUCAGAGUCUCCACACCGUCUGCAGUGUGUUUGCGAGAGCAUUCCCCGUACUCGUAGGUUAGCUCCUGUUGGGAGAGCAUUUGUACCCACUUUCCAAAGGAACAACUUCAGUUUAGGCAAUAAUGGUGGGCUCCAGAUUAAUUUAUUCUAAGGUGUAUUCCCCCGACUUCUGUAGUGGUCAGACAAAAGCAUCAUGUGUUCCAAGAAGACUCGGCCUCAGAACUAGGAUGUGCUCCUUCAGCUCAGGGCCGAACGGCUUUAGGUUCUCUUCCAGGUUUAUCCAGGAGUCAAGCCAUACAAAGGUAGUUUCUCUGUCUCCUACAGCUUUCGCUAGGUGAGUUAUCAGUAGAUUUCUUCCUGCUAGGAUACCCUCCAUCCAUGUGAGAUGUUGCUAGCAGCUAGAAGUCUAGAACUAGAGUUUUUCCCCCUAUAAACUAUACGAUAUUCCAAUACUAUCAGCUUCAAAUACAUUGCCCUUAACUUUUUUUUUGAACUUUUACGUUGCCCUAACUUGGGGAACUAAUGACGCUUAACGUCCAGUGGAUACAUUUUCCACUUACACCUAGAAAUAAUAUAUAUCAGUGAUUUUUUUUUCGCAAUGUAUAGCUCAAAUGAUUACUGAAACACGUUAGUUUUAAUUUUAUACAAAAGGGAAAACAUUUUCUCUUUGAUUAUGUGUGAAAGUGAAAGCAAUGGCUGUAAAAAAGUAUUAGAAGCUAUAUAACUUUUAGCAACUUUUACCCGAGAGAACAAUAAUAAAAAUAUAGGAGUAUGUAUUUGUUUUGGACAGCUGAAUGACUAUGACGACUCAUUAUGACGAAUCCUAGUCUACUGUCCAAAUAAAAGAAUUAUGAACGUUUAUUUGUUUUGUAUUGUUGUCUGCACUUAUUAGUCCACUGUCCAAAUAGCUCUUUAUUUCAAAUUUCAUACACACAUAGAAGUAUGAUAUCUAUUGCGUGUGUAUAUAUAUACUCUGCAAGUACGAAUUGACCCAAAACUCUACGCAUUCACAUUUGUUUUGUCUGAUUAUCGCUUGGUAUUACCAAAAUCUACAUUUUGUCUCCAAACAAUUGUUUUAUCUGAUAAAUUGAUAAUCGUCAAGAUCGCUGGUGUACCGAACGACAAUGGCCCGGCCCAUUAAUUUUAAUAAAUAUAAUCUGGAACAGCUUCAAUCAUUUUUUUUUUUUGAACUUUUUUUUUUGUUUAUCGUGAAAUACUUUUCAUAAAUAAUAUAGGUUUUGGAAUUCUGUUGGUAAAGGUAGGAAGCUCAAAAACUCCUUAAAUAAGUGACUUAGGGGAUUAGUGGAAUUUGUCGAAAAUGGGGGAUUAGUGGGAUCUUUUUAUUUAGUUGAGAGUUUUGUUAAAUUCUAACAUUUUGUUGAAUUAAUAUAAAGACUUUUACUAAAUAUAAAGAGAAUUUUGUGUAUCCAAAGAAUUAUUAUAAGAUAUUUAAAAGAAAAUUAGAAUCUAUAAAUAAAAAACAGUUGAUUUUAAUUAAAAAAUGUUACAAUCCACAAAAAUAACAAUAGGAUUUAAAACCUUUAACAAUCAUUUUAAAACAUUCUAUUUAUAACCUCUUACGAUAACUAAGCCGAAAGAUAUA
This is a long non-coding RNA of Raphanus sativus (radish), 2337 nucleotides long. RefSeq lists it as uncharacterized. The transcript has 3 exons. NCBI's taxonomy places the organism in Eukaryota, Viridiplantae, Streptophyta, Magnoliopsida, Brassicales, Brassicaceae. The record is from RefSeq and is a predicted model, not a curated record.